Non-coding RNA from Manis javanica (Malayan pangolin), 2341 nucleotides. NCBI's taxonomy places the organism in Eukaryota, Metazoa, Chordata, Mammalia, Pholidota, Manidae. The record is from RefSeq and is a predicted model, not a curated record.
AAUUGUUGAUUUUUCAGUCUGUUCACCUCUUUACUUGUUAAGACAAGUGCCAAUUCCCAGGCUCCUUCCACGUGGAACUGGAAACUAAAGUCUGGCUCUAUUUUCCGCUAAGGAUUUAUUCUGGCACCUAUCAGUACAAAACUGAAGUCAGAAAAUAUCUAGGAGGUGCUUAGGAGGGAAGGAAAAAGAACCUGGGGCCUGAAUCACAGUACAAAAGGAUCAUUUGCUCCUGAGCCCAAUGAACAUGCCCUGGGGUGAUGGAGAAAGAAGCUCCCUCCUAUCCACAGAGCUGCUCAUCUCUCCCACCUGAUGAAAGGCCUUUGUGAAGUCGAGGCCUUUGAUAAGAAUUCGUAUGGGAUCCAAACAUAUCACCCUACCUCCCGGGAUUAUUGAGAGGAAUCAAUGAGCCAGAAAACUUCUGCUGACUUUGAUCCAACCCAAUACUAGUUACUUUAAUAAAAAAAAAAAGGUAUGUUUGUUUUGAAAACAAAAUCACAACAUCAGGUUGAAGAGCUGUGGUUGCCCUGAACUUUCUGAUUGAUUCUAUUCAUGGGUAUAUGUAAAUUACAGCAAAGUUUAUUCACAUGAUACAGAAAGCCAGGAAAGGGAAAGUAUUUACAGAUUCUUUCAGGGGAAUUGUUUUGUAAGUUAAUGAUUGACUUUGAGAUGACUUUUCCCUCUAGUGAUUGGAAACUGUCCGGGAGGCAACUGUGGUCACUACUUUACAACAUGGCAGUAAAUUUCAAUAAUAACCCAACUGAUAUUUAUUGCACAGGACAUCGUAUGGGUUUUGGGUCUGGGAAGGAAAAUAAAUUUGCCCCAGCUUCUGUAGAGCUACAGUCCAAUGUGGAAAAAGGAGGACAUGAGGCUGACAGCAGCAGGCGCUCAAAGCAAUAAGAUAAAAUGAAGAGCACCAAAGUCCCCUGCCUGUGUGUUAUGAUGGGCAAAUAUCUCUGCUUUCCUUCUCCUUGGGAGGCAGAGGGGCCAUGCCAAGUGCAUGUGUGAGGGGAGGACCAGUGUGUGUGACUGGAACCCCUGGGCACAGUGUGUGCAGGAAGCAGUGAGCACCCCAGCUGGCAAGGGAGGGUCAACAAUGGAGCUGACAGGGCAGAAGCAGGAAAUGAGGGUAUGAGACAGGAUGAAGGUCUUAAGGUCAUGCUGCACGUCAAGGACAUUGCUGGUCGAGAAAACUGCAAGUCAACACUCCCAGGCUCCUAACAUUACUGGGAGACCCUGCUUCCUUAAUAUCCCAUAAAUCACAGAACUACCCAGAUAAAUAAACUCACUGAAUGACCCUCUUUGCUGCUAUCACUAAACCGGUAGUUUUCCCAGAGUUGCUUAGUCUUACCCUAAAGACUAGAGAAGGAAAAACUGAACUGGCACUCACUAACUACAAGUGGAUGAAAUGUCAGUGUGCAAAUGCUGUGCCUCCCUGCCUCAGUGCUCCCAGCAUGCCCUCAUCCUAACUCCGGCUUGUGUGCACUGCAGCUCUUUCCCACGCUCGUUUCUGUGUGUGCGUGCACGCGCAUGCGCCCGCUUUCACUGUCACGUGUAUGUCAUCACGUACUUGCUUCCCAGGGCCCUCUCUCAGGUGAGGACGCCCUUUCAAGGCUCUCCCUCGUCCCCUGUGUCUAGGGCGUCUGCAGGGAAACCCCUGUUGUCAGUGUUCAUGUUCCCAGUUCUCUCCGCUCAGCCUGACAGAGCCCAGGACUUCUCUUCAGCCCAAAUCAGCCAUGCAGUGCGAGCUUUACUUCUAAGGAUUUGCCGUCGCCUUUGAAGUGUGAUGGGAGGCCCUAGGCUUUCUGCUUGCCUCCACUGAUGCCUAAAAUGGAACCAGGAGAGAGUCAUUCACCUGUACUCAGAAUGUCAUUUUCCCAAUACCCUUUUUUAAAAGCUUUCCCAUGAGCAGCAAAGAGCACUGUGUCAGGAAGCCAGAUUCUCCAGGAAGCCUGAGACCUAUGAGGCAUUGGGCAAGUCGCCCAGGCUCGUCUGCUCCGACCACGGGCACCACCCUGGCUGCCCCGGGCUGCCUGAGAGGCAGAUGAAAUAACGUGGGACAGUGCUUGGCCAAGGGCUUGGCGCGGAGCAAGUCCCCAGGGACGACAGCUUUCCUCAUGACCUCCUCAGCUUCUCAUCUCUAAACUGGAGCUCACACUGCCUUCCGUCUACCUGGAACAGGUGACCCAGGAACCUGCCUCUAUGCCCACCCCUCUUCAAGGUCAGCUUCCUUUAGCAUCGUGGCUUUCGAACACGGUUAAUCUCAACUCACUGUAAGAAAUAUAUUUCACAACAUGAAUCCAGCAUGCACACAUGUACAACUGAAUAAGGGUUUUAUAAAACA